This 2185-nucleotide unclassified non-coding RNA is filed under the name Hevea brasiliensis (rubber tree). Lineage: Eukaryota; Viridiplantae; Streptophyta; Magnoliopsida; Malpighiales; Euphorbiaceae. The record is from RNAcentral.
GCAAAAUAAGAUUCAUGGGAGCAUAAUAUUGCAAAACUGUAUAGAAAAUUGCGUGCAAAUAUACAUUAUAUACGUACAAGAGAAUGAAGGGGGGAAAUUAGGAUACCUAGUUGUUAGCAAAAUGUACCAAAAUCCUAGUCUAAAAUCAAACUCUUCAAAUGCCAGGGUAAACACUUUGGUGAAAGCCAAGGAAUUAUAAGCAUGCCAGGGUAAAAUACGCUGGUAAAAUCACCAUGGGCAUGGAGGUUUAGCACUUAGCAUAGCAAAGGAGGUGAAUGGAAAAGGGAUGGAAGAUGAUGGAGUAGAUAUCAAAAUCUCUUAAGAGAACCUAUAAACUUUCAAACCCAACAAUGGUACAUUUUUUUCUGUUUUUUUGGGUCACUCAUGCUUUCUCACGCGCACAAAUGUGGGAUAUGUUGGUGGGUGAUUUUGCAGUAUUGGUUGAAGGGUCAUUGGUGUUGGGAAGCCUCUUAAAAAUGAUGGGUGCACCAUAUUGUGGGUAUAGAAGCAUAAGGACUGUGGGUGCAUGUUGGUAGCUUGGGGCCAAUCUAAAGGAGAAGCGUUGUAGUAUAAUGGCAAGGGUCAAUUUUGCUUGCAAAAUGGCUAGAUUUUGGCCAACGCAGGUCCUCAUUCCAAGCCCAAAGGGUAUGAAAGCUACUGAAUGCUUGGAAGCCCUGGCCACACCUUCACUAAAACGUCCUGGAUUGAACUCAUUUGCAUCAUUCCCCCAUAUACUCUGAUCAUGAUGAACGGCCAAGAUUGGUAUCAAAAGCUCUGUCCCUUUUGGGAUCUUGUAGGCCCCUAGCUCUACAUCUGUUCUCGACCGUCGGAUUGUCGCGAUUGUGGGUGGGUAUAACCGCAGGGAUUCAUUCAGAAUCAUGCUCAGCGUCUUAAGCUUUACAAUAUCGUCUUUGGUGUGUAUGUCACUUGAUCCACACACCCUCAGCACCUCCUCACGGGCUUGCACCUGCCACUGUGGAUGCAUUGCUAGUAAGAUAGUUGUCCACGUCAGCAAAUUGGAUGUGGUCUGUUUGCCAGCAAAGAAAAAGCUCUUGCACUCCUCUACUAUGUCGUUAACGGUUACAUUUGAGCUUGAAUUUGAGGCUUCGAUCAUUAAUCCUAAUAAAUCUUUUGGAUUCUUGACUGUAUUGUUUGAAUUUUCUCUCCUCCAAUCUAUCAAUUUCAUUAGCGAUUUCUUGGUUUCCUUGUCCAGUUUCCAAGAAUUCAUGUUUCGUUUAGUGGGAAAGAACCUAUAACCGGGGAUAAAGACCUUCUGGAAAGCCUCGGCAGCCAGCACCAUUUGCUGUGCCUGCAAUCUGAAAAUGACCUUACCAUCUUCAUAGCUGCUACCAAAUGCAGUUCUCGUAAUGACAUCUUCUGUAAGAGUUUGGAACCACUCUGAAACUUCAAUUUCAACCUCCUGAUCAGAGUUUGACAUUAAUGCUGACCACUGUUCUAGCAUAUCCAUCACACUCUUUGCCACCACAGGCACUAGCAGUUUGAGAUUUUCCAUGUGGAAUGUGGGGGUGAUGAUUUUCCUAUGGUGAGCCCAUUUUUCACCUUUGAGGCUGAGGAGUCCAUCACCUUCAAGCUGUUUAACAAGAGGGUGAGCUUCAAUCUUUUCGUAGAAUUCAGACUUAGUGGUAAAGAUUUCUCGGAUGAGUUCUGGAUCGGAGACGGUGAGUCGAACCGUGGGUCCGAACCACACAAGAAAGGUUGCACCAUAGAUUUUCUUCCAGUGAUGGUAGAAGGAAAGAACUCUAGGGAGUAUGUUGUGCGAGAAAGGCAUAGGCUGAGAAGAAGCCUUCAACAUCAUCUCCAUAAGCUCUUUCACAUUGCCUAUGAAGAAGCGAUAAGGGGGGCCUCUGAUUCCUUGCUUUAAGAAAUGAGCUUCAAUUCUUUUUGGUCUCCACCAAAGCAACACUACCAUCUUUAAAACGAAAACUAAGAACAAGAAAGAGAUGACAGGCAUCUUGAGCCAGUAGAAAAAGAAGAGCUCCUCCAUGUUAAGAGAUAGAGAGAGAGCUUUUCUUUCCUUAGAGACAGAUAGAGCUAGCUAGCUAGCACAGUCUCUCUUCCCUUCUGUUCUCUUUCACUCUCUUCUCUUCUCCUCCUUCCUUAAGAUCAGCACUGGAAGCAGCCUUUUCUGUUUUUGCUUCUUAUCUUCUCUUUCUCUUUCCCACUU